GCCAUGCUAGUCGUACGAGUUCAGACUCGUGGCGAAUAGCUCAGUAACACGUGGUCAAACUACCCUGUCGAGCGGGACACCCUCGGGAAACUGAGGCUAAUCCCGCAUACGGCUCGCUGCCUGGAGUGGCGCGAGCUCGAAACGCCCCGGCGCGACAGGAUGUGACUGCGGCCGAUUAGGUAGACGGUGGGGUAACGGCCCACCGUGCCGAUAAUCGGUACGGGUUGUGAGAGCAAGAGCCCGGAGACGGUAUCUGAGACAAGAUACCGGGCCCUACGGGGCGCAGCAGGCGCGAAACCUUUACACUGCACGCCAGUGCGAUAAGGGGACUCCCAGUGCGAGGGCAUAUCGUCCUCGCUUUUGUGUACCGUAGGGAGGUACACGAAUAAGGGCUGGGCAAGACCGGUGCCAGCCGCCGCGGUAAUACCGGCAGCCCGAGUGAUGACCGCUAUUAUUGGGCCUAAAGCGUCCGUAGCCGGCCACGCAAGUCCGUCGGGAAAUCCGCACGCCCAACGUGCGGGCGUCCGGCGGAAACUGCCUGGCUUGGGACCGGAAGACCAGAGGGGUACGUCCGGGGUAGGAGUGAAAUCCCGUAAUCCUGGACGGACCACCGGUGGCGAAAGCGCCUCUGGAAGACGGAUCCGACGGUGAGGGACGAAAGCUCGGGUCACGAACCGGAUUAGAUACCCGGGUAGUCCGAGCCGUAAACGAUGUCUGCUAGGUGUGCCACUGGCUACGAGCCAGUGGUGUGCCGUAGGGAAGCCGUGAAGCAGACCGCCUGGGAAGUACGUCCGCAAGGAUGAAACUUAAAGGAAUUGGCGGGGGAGCACUACAACCGGAGGAGCCUGCGGUUUAAUUGGACUCAACGCCGGACAUCUCACCAGCACCGACAGUAGCCGUGAAGAUCAGUGUGAUGAGCUUAUUGGAGCUACUGAGAGGAGGUGCAUGGCCGCCGUCAGCUCGUACCGUGAGGCGUCCUGUUAAGUCAGGCAACGAGCGAGACCCACACUCCUAAUUGCCAGCAUGACCCACGUGGUUGAUGGGUACAUUAGGAGGACUGCCANUGCCAACUGGAGGAAGGAAUGGGCAACGGUAGGUCAUUAUGCCCCGAAAGUGCUGGGCGACCGCGGGCUACAUGGUCGAAACAGUGGGAUGCUACGCC
Molecule: ribosomal RNA, 1162 nt
Filed under: Natribaculum sp.
Lineage: Archaea; Methanobacteriati; Methanobacteriota; Halobacteria; Halobacteriales; Natrialbaceae
Description: bacterial SSU rRNA
Rfam family: Archaeal small subunit ribosomal RNA
Source: RNAcentral